This 253-nucleotide ribosomal RNA is filed under the name uncultured bacterium. Its description in RNAcentral is "partial 16S ribosomal RNA". It matches the Rfam family "Bacterial small subunit ribosomal RNA", at positions 524 to 776 of the family's 1533-position model. The record is from RNAcentral.
UACGUAGGAGGCAAGCGUUGUCCGGAUUUACUGGGCGUAAAGAGCGUGUAGGCGGUGCGUUAAGUCUGCCGUGAAAUCUCUUCGCUUAACGAAGAGGGGUCGGUGGAAACUAGCGCACUAGAGGACGGUAGAGGGGGGUGGAAUUCCCGGUGUAGUGGUGAAAUGCGUAGAGAUCGGGAGGAACACCAGCGGCGAAGGCGGCCCCCUGGGCCGCUCCUGACGCUGAGACGCGAAGGCCAGGGUAGCGAACGGG